Molecule: ribosomal RNA, 494 nt
Filed under: uncultured bacterium
Lineage: Bacteria
Description: partial 16S ribosomal RNA
Rfam family: Bacterial small subunit ribosomal RNA
Source: RNAcentral
GACGAACGCUGGCGGCGUGCUUAACACAUGCAAGUCGUACGGUGAAGCGCCUUCCUUUUUGGUGGGUGUGGAUGAGUGGCGAACGGGUGAGUAACACGUGAGUAACCUGCCCCCUUCUUCUGGAUAACCGCAUGAAAGUGUGGCUAAUACGGGAUAUUCUGGGUCUGUCGCAUGAUGGGUCUGGGAAAGAUAUUGUUUCGGUGGGGGAUGGGCUCGCGGCCUAUCAGCUUGUUGGUGGGGUGAUGGCCUACCAAGGCGGUGACGGGUAGCCGGCCUGAGAGGGUGGACGGUCGCACUGGGACGGAGACACGGCCCAGACUCCUACGGGAGGCAGCAGUGGGGAAUAUUGCACAAUGGGCGCAAGCCUGAUGCAGCGACGCCGCGUGAGGGAUGGAGGCCUUCGGGUUGUGAACCUCUUUCGCCAGUGAAGCAGGCCUGCCUCGUUUGUGGGUGGGUUGACGGUAGCUGGAUAAGAAGCGCCGGCUAACUACGUG